Molecule: non-coding RNA, 71 nt
Organism: Podarcis lilfordi (Lilford's wall lizard)
Lineage: Eukaryota; Metazoa; Chordata; Lepidosauria; Squamata; Lacertidae
Source: the annotation of a GenBank genome assembly
GCAGAUAGCUCACUCCUUAGAGCAUGAGAUUCUUCAUCUCAUGGUUGUAGGUUCAAGCCCCAUGUUAGGCA